RNAcentral lists this ribosomal RNA (247 nucleotides) under uncultured bacterium. Its description in RNAcentral is "partial 16S ribosomal RNA". It matches the Rfam family "Bacterial small subunit ribosomal RNA", at positions 523 to 769 of the family's 1533-position model. The record is from RNAcentral.
AUACGUAUGGUGCAAGCGUUAUCCGGAUUUACUGGGUGUAAAGGGAGCGUAGGUGGCAAGGCAAGCCAGAAGUGAAAACCCGGGGCUCAACCGCGGGAUUGCUUUUGGAACUGUCAUGCUAGAGUGCAGGAGGGGUGAGCGGAAUUCCUAGUGUAGCGGUGAAAUGCGUAGAUAUUAGGAGGAACACCGGAGGCGAAGGCGGCUCACUGGACUGUAACUGACACUGAGGCUCGAAAGCGUGGGGAGC